AGUGAACGCUGGCGGUAGGCCUAACACAUGCAAGUCGAACGGCAGCACAGUAAGAGCUUGCUCUUACGGGUGGCGAGUGGCGGACGGGUGAGGAAUACAUCGGAAUCUACUUUUUCGUGGGGGAUAACGUAGGGAAACUUACGCUCAUACCGCAUACGACCUACGGGUGAAAGCAGGGGAUCUUCGGACCUUGCGCGGUUGAAUGAGCCGCUGUCGGAUUAGCUAGUUGGCGGGGUAAAGGCCCACCAAGGCGACGAUCCGUAGCUGGUCUGAGAGGAUGAUCAGCCACACUGGAACGGAGACACGGUCCAGACGCCUACGGGAGGCAGCAGUGGGGAAUAUUGGACAAUGGGCGCAAGCCUGAUCCAGCCAUACCGCGUGGGUGAAGAAGGCCUUCGGGUUGUAAAGCCCUUUUGUUGGGAAAGAAAAGCAGCAGGUUAAUACCCCGCUGUUCUGACGGUACCCAAAGAAUAAGCACCGGCUAACUUCGUG
This 492-nucleotide ribosomal RNA is filed under the name uncultured bacterium. RNAcentral's name for it is "partial 16S ribosomal RNA". It matches the Rfam family "Bacterial small subunit ribosomal RNA", at positions 29 to 507 of the family's 1533-position model. The record is from RNAcentral.